This 730-nucleotide ribosomal RNA is filed under the name Streptomyces sp. 11527. RNAcentral describes it as "bacterial SSU rRNA". It matches the Rfam family "Bacterial small subunit ribosomal RNA", at positions 56 to 802 of the family's 1533-position model. Lineage: Bacteria; Bacillati; Actinomycetota; Actinomycetes; Kitasatosporales; Streptomycetaceae. The record is from RNAcentral.
UGCAGUCGAACGAUGAAGCCGCUUCGGUGGUGGAUUAGUGGCGAACGGGUGAGUAACACGUGGGCAAUCUGCCCUUCACUCUGGGACAAGCCCUGGAAACGGGGUCUAAUACCGGAUAACACUCUGUCCCGCAUGGGACGGGGUUAAAAGCUCCGGCGGUGAAGGAUGAGCCCGCGGCCUAUCAGCUUGUUGGUGGGGUAAUGGCCUACCAAGGCGACGACGGGUAGCCGGCCUGAGAGGGCGACCGGCCACACUGGGACUGAGACACGGCCCAGACUCCUACGGGAGGCAGCAGUGGGGAAUAUUGCACAAUGGGCGAAAGCCUGAUGCAGCGACGCCGCGUGAGGGAUGACGGCCUUCGGGUUGUAAACCUCUUUCAGCAGGGAAGAAGCGAAAGUGACGGUACCUGCAGAAGAAGCGCCGGCUAACUACGUGCCAGCAGCCGCGGUAAUACGUAGGGCGCAAGCGUUGUCCGGAAUUAUUGGGCGUAAAGAGCUCGUAGGCGGCUUGUCACGUCGGAUGUGAAAGCCCGGGGCUUAACCCCGGGUCUGCAUUCGAUACGGGCUAGCUAGAGUGUGGUAGGGGAGAUCGGAAUUCCUGGUGUAGCGGUGAAAUGCGCAGAUAUCAGGAGGAACACCGGUGGCGAAGGCGGAUCUCUGGGCCAUUACUGACGCUGAGGAGCGAAAGCGUGGGGAGCGAACAGGAUUAGAUACCCUGGUAGUCCACGCCG